GAAGACUCCAGAAGCCACGGGAAGGAAGCGGAGACCGAACGGAGUCAGGGACAGGGCGCCCGCCCAAGUCCUUAGGGCGCCCGCCCACCUUUUUCGGCCAAUCACGCUCAAUCUCGCGGAUUAUGCUCCACCGACCUAAAAGAUCAAGAAUAACCGUUCAAUCAAUGUCGGUUUGAUCCGACGGCCCAGGUUCACUUGAGGGGACUAUAAAACCAGACCCCCUGGCCCCUGGAGGAGGCACCCCCUUGAUCAUUAUUCAUUAUUCAUUAUUCAUAGACAGAGCAAAAGCUAGGGUUUAGAGAUGAGAGCUCUCCUCUCUUCUCUAAACUAGAGUAGAUCUAGAUAGUAGCGAGAUGGAGAGCGAAGGUGGAUUAGAGGAGAGGCCGGCCUGUCGGUUCUUCCUCCGGUUGUACUUCGCCAUGAUCAAGCUCUAAUCAAGCUUGCUCAUGGGAUGACUCUGGUAAUCUACUUCUAAUUCAUUAUGCAAUUACUAAUCAUGUAUGUUCUGGUUCACAACUCUUUUGAGUACUUCUAAUCUAUAGGACCCUAUAGGUUAGAGUUGUAGUAUAGGUGUAAGCGUGGUGCUUAGACCUAGAUUACUUGUGGAUAUCCCCUGACUAGCUGGAUCGUGUGGUAGGCCGCGUAGGUGACAGUUACGUUGGUCCCCUGUAGUCCACCUCUCGUUAGCAGGACGGGUAGUGUUUAUCGGCCUAUGGAUAAGCAUUCUUUGUGGUGUACUCUUAUCACGUGGUUCGUCCCAGACAUAGACAUACCCCUUUGAAGUAGAGAAAUCAUAGUUAUCCUCUCUAUUCUGCUACCAUCGCCCAUAUACUAGAAUUGCUCUACUCUCUAUUCCCAUAUUAUCACUCACUGUUAUCUUACCUUUAAUAUUGUUCUUAUUCGAUUCUACCAUCUUUCCUAUUCACACCUAUUUACUUAUCUUGGUUAAGUUAGAGCAUAGAUCAGUUCUCCCGUUUCCCUGUGGAUACGAUAAAACCUUUAACCGGGUAAAAGCUUCAACAGUAUCCGUGCGCUUUGCGGAUUAUCUGUGUGCGUAUAAAUACCAUAGUACACUCUAGUGCCACGCUGGGAAUGACAACCUAGUAUUCAAGUGGUGUUAGCAAGUGUCAACAAGCAUUUUUGGCGCCGUUGCCGGGGAAACGGUUGCUGAGUUGACUACGAACUAGUUUAAUCAUUUUAUAAAAUAAUAAUAAUAAUAAUAAUAAUAAUAAUAUUUUCCUUUUAUCCUUUGCCUCAUCUCUGUUAUUCUUUCUUCUUAUCUAAUCCUUGAUCUCUGUCUAUUAUGAAUUCAAACAUGUCUAUCUAUGAAUUUCAUAGACCUAUGGGCACACAUCUCGAACCACCAAAAUCUUCAAAGCCUAUCAUAGCAUCUAGUUUUGAGAUAGACCCCGAAUACAUAGAAUUUAUUCAAAAACAAUCUUUCUCAGGAGAAGGUGAGAAAAACCCAUACACACACCUAAGAGAGUUUUAUCGAGUAUGUGACCUCCUUCGCAUAGAAGGCAUGUCCGAUGAGACCCUUAAAUGGAAGCUCUUUCCGUUCUCUUUAACGGAAAAAGCUAGACAUUGGUAUAAACUCAAAGUAGAGAGUGUUCAUGGAGAUUGGAAGGAGUUAUAUAGUAGUUUUCUUUCUAAAUAUUUUCCAAUCUCCAAAGUGGUGGAACUUCGGCGUGAGAUUCUUUCUUUUAGACAACUGGAAGAAGAAUCUCUUGGCAAAUCAUGGGACCGCUUUAUUAACCUUACUCUCACUGGUCCAAAACUUUCUAUUCCAGAAGAAGUUCUUCUAAUUCACUUUUUUGAGGGCCUUAGUAGGAAAAAUAGGCAAACCCUUCAUGCAGCCUCUGGAGGAUCUUUCCACCACCUAUCCGCUAGUGAAGCUUGGAAUUUGAUUGAUUUAAUGAGCGGAAAGUCUCCUAGCUUUUAUAUCUCUGAGAAAGAGAAAGAACCAGUUCCUAGACAAGAAGAAGUUUCGAUAGCCAGAUCACAACCACUUCAAUCCCAAACUUUAGCUAUCGAUCCUAAACCAUCAAUACCCCAAAAUUCUCCAAGGGAGGAAGGAAUUCCGACCUUAAAUCUUUUAGAUGCUGAUGGUUUAGACUUCUGGUUCUAUAAGAGACCUUCAAGCAGGGAUAAUUCAAAUCAUUGCAAUAAUGUUUCUCUUAGAGAAUGUCCUGGUUCCUAUCAUGAAGAAGUCGAGGAUGACAUAUCAAGUGAAGGAGAGCUAAGCCAUAUAGACAAUUCUAUCUACUCCCCUUCCAUGUUCACAAGUUCUAAAUCCAUCCUUGACCUUAGAGAUCCCUCUUAUCCCUCUUCUUUUCAGUCUCAUGAUGAUCCUAGCAAUUCACCAAGACGACCAAACCAUAGGAGUCAUGAAGACCAUAAGGAUGGCAUGUCAAGUAAUGCCAUAGAAGGAGAGCUAAGCCAUAUAGAAAAUUCUAACACCUCCCCUAUUUUGAUCACAAGUUCUAAAUGGCUAGAAUGUGUAGAAUGGAUGGAUAAGGAAGAAGCCUUAAUGGGUUCUGACUUUGGCUCAAUUUCAAAUGGUGAGUUCUUGACUCCCUUUGAAGAUGAGAUUCAUCCAACUACAGAAGAGGACAUAGGUGAGACCAAUCCAGGAGAAACUCCGAACAUUCAGAUUGGAGACGAAGAUAGCAUUAAUGAGCACGGAAUUUAUUUCAUAGCCACUUCGUUUACUCCAUGCUCAUAUGCAACAUCUUCCCAAUCUAUUGGUCUCUCCGACAUUACCACACUUGAGAUCUCCAACCCCCUCUUCCUUUCUAUUUAUAAAAACUUUAAAAGGGCGGUUGUCGAUGCAUAUGUCUAUAAUAAAUAUUGCAGAUCUCGUUGAGUUGAUCUAGAUAUAGGUUGGCGUCGGAGGGGAAACCACUUCGCCAACAUAAACUGAUGGUUUCCCAAGGACAAGCUUAGUGUCUUAAAAUAAGCAUUGAUCAGAUCGUAACAUGAGCCUUUAAUUAUUUGCAACAUUACCUUGUGUAUUGAGCAUAUAAGGAUAAUUGUAAAAAAAAAUAUAUUCCUUCGGGUAUUCUUGUCACUAACCUUUCUAAGAUUGGAGCAAGAAGAUCGGAUGAAUGACAAGCACAAGGUAUGUCCAACCAAUCAUCAUACAACAUUGAAUUAAAUUCAUCCAAACUUGAAUUUUGUAAAAUUCAAGCUUGGGGGAGUACUUUACAUAAAAACAUCCUUUGCCAUGUUGCUAUGCUGGUUGUCCCUACCUUUGAGACAUGCUCAAUUUGUUAAAUACUAAUCACACUACUUCAUCUCCACUUGAGUAGAUCUCUAUAAAUACUGUCAUGCUACCUUUGUCUAUUUACUAGCAAGUGUUGGUUGGAAGUACUCACCAUACUUCUAUUGGCAUUUAAAUUAAGCAUGGUGCUUAGGUUAAAUAGCCUUCCUUAAUCUGAUUAGACAUGGAGUCUAGUUUGGUUAUUGAACUAAAAAAACUGCUUGAGUAGAUAUUGGUAUAUUUUGUCGGACUAACCCCUGCAGAAAAACUUUCAAUAUCGAUUUGGGAAGUCCUGAGAUAAACUCACAUCAGAGACGAAGAGAGUGACACAUGAAGUUUAACAAUUUGCACAAGAAGGACAUAGCUCAUUCAUCAUAGAGAGAUGAUCCAUGGAGGGUGCCACAAACACGAUGCACAACCGCUAAGAAAGGAAAGCUUCCACAAGAUGAUACUGUACCAUCACUCUUCAAGCAAGGUAACAUUUUAAGGUACUUGACUAUCUCUUUUAUAAGCUUCUCCUUGGUUCUGGCGUUCAUAUAAAUAAAAGAGACAAACGUGUAUGAUUUACAACUCUAGAUUAACCAACCCAACUGAUUCAACAUGUUUAGUCCUUUAAUCCUUGUUCUUAGUACUACCUCUAUGAUCCCACACUCCUAAUCAUAUGAGCUAAAAUGUUACACAUUCAAUCAUUGAGAGAUAUAAAGAAAAAGACAUAUACAUAGAUAGAUUAUCUUUCCAUAAGGUUGAGCGAUCUGAUCUGACAAAUGUUAUAAGUGCUACACUCAUGAACUUAUCAUCCAUCAACUUGUCUUGCUCACUAUGCUUAAGGUUAGAGAAGAACAAAUACUCUUUUGGUUCUGUUGGUGUUUUCCACCAACAGGGCCCAUGCACUUGAUCUCUCCCUUGUCUCUAUGAGCAGGUACACUACCAGCACAAACACACUGAGCAAGAUACUACUAACACCGCACUUCGAACUGCUGGGCAAACGAAGAACAUGGGUGACACCGUAUUAAAAGGUGCAGACGUCAAGGUCCGCACCAGAAUCAAAUGACGCACCUGAAGAAUGAACACGGUGAGAAGUCUUGUCAAGAAGACUUAAAACAUUGAACCCUCGCCGAAAGGUAAGAUUGGUAGUUAUCCAUAUUUAUCCUUUCUGCAUUCCCUUUUCUCUUUAAUUAUUUACUUUCCUUAAAUAGAUUAUUAGUUAAUCAUGCUAUCUUGAAAAGAAAAAUAAAAAUGUUAAAAAAUACUAUCUUGAAAAGAAAAUAAAAAUGUUAAAAAAUACUAAGCCCCAUGUGGCAUAAAACCCAUAAGUACCUUCACUGUGGUGGCAUAAAAAUAAAAUAAAUAUUUCUUUUCUACUUUAUAAAAUAAAAAUAUAAAAACAGGGAGUAAUAUUUAUUAAGGAAGCUCAACGUGAUGAAGGCUAGAUAUUUAUGCUAACACUUAAUUAGUUCCACAAGCUUUGUUGUCUAUUUGAGCUCCACAGAAUUUAAGAAUCAAGAAGACUAGCAGACGGAGGACAUUCUAAUCGCUGUCAGAAUGCUGCUGACUUUCAAAUACACCUCUGCCACCUGCUAGCUACAUCAAGAGAAAUUACGUCAAAAUUCAGCUUGGGGGAGAGCACCCCCAUUUAUCUCGCUAAGUAUUUCUAUCUAUCUUUAUACUUAUAUUAUAUUAGAAUAUUAAAAUACAUAAACUAUGAAAAAACCAAAUAAAGAUUUUGUGCUUAUAUAUAUAUAUAUAUAUCUUUUGCUUAGUGUGUUUAAUAAAUAAAUAAAUAAAGUGGCUAUGCUAAUCUGAAUCUUAAUAAUAAAACUCUAACAUGGAUAUAAUGAAUAGUUGCUCUGCCUAAUUUGCAAAUUUGAAGUUCUCUCUCAAGUUUAGACAUAACUGUUAUAAUUUAAAGCUUGCUCUAGAUCUAAACUUGUGGGAUGAAAACUUGAUCUGAAAUCUAAGUUGUUAACGGAUAUGAUAUGGGAAGGUUGAGCUGCUGUUUAUCUAUUCCUAGAGAUGCUAGAAUUCUGGAGAAUUUUAUCUUUGAGAAAUCUAUAAAAUAUUGCAUGAUGAGUUCCUGUAUGAUGAGAGUUUAAAUUCCUACCACAGCCAUAUAUACAUGCUUGCUAGACUUUGAGCCACACAUUUAUUAUUUACUGCUUAUGAGCAUUGAGUGUGGUCAAGCUGUGUAGACCCUUAGGAGCUUGUCAUGUGGUUAAAUCAAUAUUCACUUGCACGUUCACUCAUAUAUAUGCUACUUCUACUCCGGAAGUACCAUCCACAUAUAUCCAUCCAUUUCCAUCUCCAGAAUCACCUAAAAAUAUUCUACUCCUAAUUCGGGAGAGAAUAGCCAAAAACAUCUGUGUUUUUCCCUUGUGAAAUAAAUGCUCAAGUUAUCUUGCUACUACCACUUGCUAUAUUAUCUCAAGAGAUGAGUGCUCUGAAAAAAAAAGAAGAAAAAAAAAGAAAAGAAAAAAAAUAAACGAGGAAAUAAAAAGGGGCAAGUGCCCGGAGCCUCGAAAGAAAAGAAAAAGAGUGAGACGAGAGGUAAAAAUGGACAAGUGUCCGACAGUAGAAUUAGGGGUACAGGAGACUUAGGGUUUCUGAGAGAAUCAUACAAGGAAUUUCUAAGUUUUAUUUGAAAAUCUGAAAAAACUCCAGAGCUAUAGCUGAUCAAGAAUAAGAGACAUGGCACUUGGCUAGACUGUUCUAUCUUUUAACUACUCAAGACAGAAGUGACGGUUACAAGUCCCAUGGCGAAAGGUAAAGUAAGUAAGUUUUAGUUCUUUACAGUUUACUCUAACUCAGAGAUGAGAACUUAUUUAAAAAGCAUGUGUACCGUCAAAUUUUUAAGAUAUUGCAACAACUUCUGAUCCAUUGCUGAGUCUAUUCUUGCUCAGGGACGAGCAAGAGGUAAGCUUGGGGGAGUUUGUUGACGGUCCUUAAGUAUCAAAUUUUACUAUCAAAUAAACAAAGAAAAGGAUCCAAAUGAAAUCAACAUCGAGACUUAGGGUUUUAUCUGACAGAAUUCCACGAGUUUUGGUGUUUGUCUAUUUCUGCAGGGGGUUAUCAGGAAAUAAGGAAAAAAAGCCCACACAUCGGGAUUACAUAGAGAUAUCAACGUGCCGCGCAAUUAUCUUACAUCUAGAAGACUCCAGAAGCCACGGGAAGGAAGCGGAGACCGAACGGAGUUAGGGACAGGGCGCCCGCCCAAGUCCUUAGGGCGCCCGCCCACCUUUUUCGGCCAAUCACGCUCAAUCUCGCGGAUUAUGCUCCACCGACCUAAAAGAUCAAGAAUAACCGUUCAAUCAAUGUCGGUUUGAUCCGACGGCCCAGGUUCACUUGAGGGGACUAUAAAACCAGACCCCCUGGCCCCUGGAGGAGGCACCCCCUUGAUCAUUAUUCAUUAUUCAUAGACAGAGCAAAAGCUAGGGUUUAGAGAUGAGAGCUCUCCUCUCUUCUCUAAACUAGAGUAGAUCUAGAUAGUAGCGAGAUGGAGAGCGAAGGUGGAUUAGAGGAGAGGCCGGCCUGUCGGUUCUUCCUCCGGUUGUACUUCGCCAUGAUCAAGCUCUAAUCAAGCUUGCUCAUGGGAUGACUCUGGUAAUCUACUUCUAAUUCAUUAUGCAAUUACUAAUCAUGUAUGUUCUGGUUCACAACUCUUUUGAGUACUUCUAAUCUAUAGGACCCUAUAGGUUAGAGUUGUAGUAUAGGUGUAAGCGUGGUGCUUAGACCUAGAUUACUUGUGGAUAUCCCCUGACUAGCU
This 7022-nucleotide long non-coding RNA is filed under the name Sorghum bicolor (sorghum). RNAcentral describes it as "long non-coding RNA (SBIC_LNC010626)". Lineage: Eukaryota; Viridiplantae; Streptophyta; Magnoliopsida; Poales; Poaceae. The record is from RNAcentral.